Molecule: ribosomal RNA, 903 nt
Filed under: uncultured archaeon
Lineage: Archaea
Description: bacterial SSU rRNA
Rfam family: Archaeal small subunit ribosomal RNA
Source: RNAcentral
UUCCGGUUGAUCCCGCCGGACCCCACUGCUAUCGGGAUAGGACUAAGACAUGCUAGUCGCGUGCUUCAGCCAAAACGAGGCACGGCACACAGCUCAGUAACACGUGGCUAAUCUGCCCUUGGGAUAGGAAUACCCCCGGGAAACUGGGGCUAAUUCCCAAUAGGUGAAGAACUCUGGAAUGAGUCUCCACCAGAAAAGAGCUUACGUUAUGCUCGUAAGUUUCGCCCAAGGAUGAGGCCGCGACCGAUCAGGUUGUUGGCGAGGUAAUGGCUCGCCAAGCCUUUUACCGGUGCGGGCCGUGGGAGCGGGAGCCCGGAGAUGGGUACUGAGACAAGGACCCAGGCCCUACGGGGCGCAGCAGUCGCGAAAACUUUGCAAUAAGCGCAAGCUUGACAGGGCUAUCCCGAGUGCCAUCCGCUGAGGAAGGCUUUUACCCAGUCUAGAACGCUGGGGGAAUAAGGAGAGGGCAAGUCUGGUGUCAGCCGCCGCGGUAAUACCAGCUCUCCGAGUGGUGUGGAUGUUUAUUGGGCCUAAAGCAUCCGUAGCUGGCUAAGUUAGUCCCCUGUUAAAUCCACCGAAUUAAUCGUUGGAUCGCGGGGGAUACUGCUUGGCUAGGGGACGAGAGAGGCAGACGGUAUUUUCGGGGUAGGGGUGAAAUCCUAUAAUCCCGGGAAGACCACCAGUGGCGAAGGCUGUCUGCUAGAACGCGCCCGACGGUGAGGGAUGAAAGCUGGGGGAGCGAACCGGAUUAGAUACCCGGGUAGUCCCAGCUGUAAACGAUGCAGACUAGGUGUUUGGACGGCCACGUGCCGUUCUAGUGCCGCAGGGAAGCUGUUAAGUCUGCCGCCUGGGGAGUACGAUCGCAAGAUUGAACUUAAAGGAAUUGGCGGGGGAGCACCACAA